RNAcentral lists this non-coding RNA (25 nucleotides) under Rattus norvegicus (Norway rat). Lineage: Eukaryota; Metazoa; Chordata; Mammalia; Rodentia; Muridae. The record is from RNAcentral.
UAAGUGCUUCUGGACCAUUGAGUUU